AAAGGCAUUGGUAACCUGCUUAGAAUAAUAGAGGACUUCGGUUCUAUCAACUGGUUCAGGAACUGGAGUAAUGAUUAAGAGGGACAAUUCGGGUGCAUUUGUAUCCCUGCGCGAGAGGUGAAAAUUGUGGACCGCAGGGGGACGCCCUAAAGCGAAAGCAACUGCCAAGAAUGGCUUCAUUCAAUAAGAACGAAAACCAGAGGUUCGAAAGCGAUUAGAUGCCGCCCUAGUUCUGACCUUAAACUAUGCCAUUUAGCG
Molecule: non-coding RNA, 258 nt
Filed under: Ancylostoma ceylanicum
Lineage: Eukaryota; Metazoa; Nematoda; Chromadorea; Rhabditida; Ancylostomatidae
Description: Microsporidia small subunit ribosomal RNA
Rfam family: Eukaryotic small subunit ribosomal RNA
Source: Rfam by way of RNAcentral